RNAcentral lists this ribosomal RNA (450 nucleotides) under uncultured bacterium. RNAcentral's name for it is "bacterial SSU rRNA". It matches the Rfam family "Bacterial small subunit ribosomal RNA", at positions 329 to 793 of the family's 1533-position model. The record is from RNAcentral.
CGCCAGACUCCUACGGGAGGCAGCAGUGGGGGAUAUUGCACAAUGGGGGGAACCCUGAUGCAGCGACGCCGCGUGGGUGAAGGAGUGCUUCGGCAUGUAAAGCCCUAUCGGCAGGGAAGAAAUUGGACGGUACCUGACUAAGAAGCCCCGGCUAACUACGUGCCAGCAGCCGCGGUAAUACGUAGGGGGCAAGCGUUAUCCGGAUUCACUGGGUGUAAAGGGAGCGUAGACGGCCAUGCAAGCCUGGAGUGAAAGCCCGGGGCCCAACCCCCGGACUGCUUUGGAAACUGUAUGGCUGGAGUGCAGGAGAGGUAAGUGGAAUUCCUAGUGUAGCGGUGAAAUGCGUAGAUAUUAGGAGGAACACCAGUGGCGAAGGCGGCUUACUGGACUGUAACUGACGUUGAGGCUCGAAAGCGUGGGGAGCAAACAGGAUUAGAUACCCUGGUACCG